GACGAACCGAGCGAACGUUGUUCGGAAUCACUGGGCUUAAAGGGCGCGUAGGCGGGCAUUCAAGUCCGUGGUGAAAUCCGGCAGCUCAACUGUCGAAUUGCCGCGGAUACUGGGUGUCUCGAGGGAGGUAGGGGCGUGCGGAACUAAUGGUGGAGCGGUGAAAUGCGUUGAUAUCAUUAGGAACUCCGGUGGCGAAGGCGGCACGCUGGACCUCUUCUGACGCUGAGGCGCGAAAGCCAGGGGAGCAAACGGG
This 253-nucleotide ribosomal RNA is filed under the name uncultured bacterium. RNAcentral's name for it is "partial 16S ribosomal RNA". It matches the Rfam family "Bacterial small subunit ribosomal RNA", at positions 524 to 776 of the family's 1533-position model. RNAcentral also lists the same sequence under 1 other name. The record is from RNAcentral.